UGAGGAAUAUUGGGCAAUGCCCGAAAGGGUGACCCAGCAACGCCGCGUGGAGGAUGAAGGUCGUAAGAUUGUAAACUCCUGUUAGAGGGGAAGAAUAACUAAGUUUGGAGCUUAGUAUGUCUGUACCCUCAGAGAAAGCCCCGGCUAACUACGUGCCAGCAGCCGCGGUAAUACGUAGGGGGCAAGCGUUGUCCGGAUUUACUGGGUGUAAAGGGCGCGCAGGCGGAAUGGAAAGUCAGUGGUGAAAUCCUACAGCUUAACUGUAGAACUGCCUUUGAUACUUUCAUUCUUGAGUUCGGGAGAGAGAGACGGAAUUCCAGGUGUAGUGGUGAAAUACGUAGAUAUCUGGAAGAACACCAGUUGCGAAGGCGGUCUCUUGGUCCGAUACUGACGCUGAGGCGCGAAAGCGUGGGGAGCAAACA
This 422-nucleotide ribosomal RNA is filed under the name uncultured bacterium. RNAcentral's name for it is "bacterial SSU rRNA". It matches the Rfam family "Bacterial small subunit ribosomal RNA", at positions 355 to 774 of the family's 1533-position model. The record is from RNAcentral.